RNAcentral lists this ribosomal RNA (433 nucleotides) under uncultured bacterium. RNAcentral describes it as "partial 16S ribosomal RNA". It matches the Rfam family "Bacterial small subunit ribosomal RNA", at positions 29 to 507 of the family's 1533-position model. The record is from RNAcentral.
AACGAACGCUGGCGGCAUGCCUAACACAUGCAAGUCGAACGAGACCUUCGGGUCUAGUGGCGCACGGGUGCGUAACGCGUGGGAACCUGCCCUUAGGUUCGGAAUAACUCCCCGAAAGGGGUGCUAAUACCGGAUAAUGUCUUCGGACCAAAGAUUUAUCGCCUUUGGAUGGGCCCGCGUUGUAUUAGCUAGUUGGUAGGGUAAAAGCCUACCAAGGCGACGAUCCAUAGCUGGUCUGAGAGGAUGAUCAGCCACACUGGGACUGAGACACGGCCCAGACUCCUACGGGAGGCAGCAGUGGGGAAUAUUGGACAAUGGGCGAGAGCAUGAUCCAGCAAUGCCGCGUGAGUGAUGAAGGCCUUAGGGUUGUAAAGCUCUUUUACCCGGGAUGAUAAUGACAGUACCGUAAGAAUAAGCUCCGGCUAACUCCGUG